GACGAACGCUGGCGGCGUGCCUAAUACAUGCAAGUCGAGCGCAGGAAAUCGACGGAACCCUUCGGGGGGAAGUCGACGGAAUGAGCGGCGGACGGGUGAGUAACACGUAAAGAACCUGCCCUCAGGUCUGGGAUAACCACGAGAAAUCGGGGCUAAUACCGGAUGGGUCAUCGGACCGCAUGGUCCGAGGAUGAAAGGCGCUUCGGCGUCGCCUGGGGAUGGCUUUGCGGUGCAUUAGCUAGUUGGUGGGGUAAUGGCCCACCAAGGCGACGGUGCAUAGCCCACCUUAGAUGAUCAUCGGCCACACUGGGACUGAGACACGCCCCAGACUCCUACAGGAGGCAGCAGUAAGGAAUCUUCCACAAUGGACGAAAGUCUGAUGGAGCAACGCCGCGUGAACGAUGAAGGCCUUCGGGACGUAAAGUUCUGUUGUAAGGGAAGAACAAGUGCCGCAGGCAAUGGCGGCACCUUGACGGUACCUUGCGAGAAAGCCACGGCUAACUACGUGCCAGCAGCCGCAGUAA
Molecule: ribosomal RNA, 524 nt
Filed under: uncultured bacterium
Lineage: Bacteria
Description: partial 16S ribosomal RNA
Rfam family: Bacterial small subunit ribosomal RNA
Source: RNAcentral